Molecule: long non-coding RNA, 5196 nt
Organism: Nerophis ophidion (straightnose pipefish)
Lineage: Eukaryota; Metazoa; Chordata; Actinopteri; Syngnathiformes; Syngnathidae
Exons: 2
Source: RefSeq, a predicted model, not a curated record
CGAGCUCGAGAGUAGACCGAAGUGGACGGAAAGAACAUAAAUAGUGCACAUGUCGGCAAAGGGUGAAGAAGUGGGGGGUGGGAGGGAGGAGGAGCAGCAAUGAGUUCAAGAUGGCGGCGGUGCAGCAUGAGUAGGGUGUUCAGUUCCUGCAUGGCUCCUCCCCCACCCCUCACCGACCCCUCCCUCCCGGGGCUCACUUACCCUUCCUCUUGGCCUCUUCACUGUAGACAUUUUCUUCCUCUUUUCCUCUCCCACCCCCCCCCAGCCAAGCCUCCCUCCCUCCUUAACAAAAGCUUCUUUCGCCGGGUCGUUUCUUUUUCUUUCCCCCCCCCUCGCCGUUUUUCACACUUUUUCGCCGCUUCCGCUUGGGCCCCCCCACCCCCGCCCUCCCUCUCCUCUUCUGGUUGGCCUCCCGACCCUCCUCUUCCUCCUCCGCCGCCGCCAGCGGUCCGUCCGACUCCUCGAGGCGGGUGUGUGAGAACGCCGGAUCCGGUUCUCUCCUCCCCCUCUCCCACGCCCCCCCCCCCCUCCCACCCCCAGCAGGCAGGGCUCAAGAGGAGCGCAUGGGAGCUCCCUCACCCUCCCUCCCCCGUCAGUCCGUCUCUCUCUUACUCCCUCACCCCCCUCGCUGGUCUCUUCACUGGGUAACGCAGAGGAGGUGCGUGGCAGUCCAGGAAGCGCUCAUUCUGUCCGUCUCUCCGGUUGACCCUUCCACCCCUCGUCCGCCAGUCUCACGGAUCCCUCGUCCGUCUCGGCUCCUUCCUUUUUUCCCCCCGUGUGUGCUCGUCGUCGUCGUCCUCCUUCUUGGAUGAGAUAAGCGCUGCCCCUCGCCUCUGGUUCCAGACUGCAGCAGGCAGCGAGCGGCAGGAAAAUGAAAGCACAAAGCAGCAAAAUGCAUCAGCAUGAAUAUUAGAGAUGUCGUUAAAACCCAGACUCGUUUCUCUCUCUCUCUCUCGCUCACUCCCCUCCUCUCUCUCCACGCUCUCUCUCUCUCUUUAUAAAAGGAAGUAGGCCAGCAGAUGGUGCUAGCAGUUAUUACAUUAACUUUCACAAAUUAACCCUCCGAGUACUGGCAUCCGCCUGUUUGGCGUCCUCCUUUUUAGGACAUAUUUAGAGGUUGUUAGAGUACCAAUGAUUGUCACACACACACACACACACACACACACACACACACACACACACUAGGUGUAGUAAAAUUAUCCUCUGCAUUUGACCGAUCACCCCCUGGGAGGUGAGGGGAGCAGUGAGCAGCAGGGGCUGCGCCCGGGAAUCAUUUUGGUGAUUUAACCCUUAAUUCUAACCCUUGAUGCUGAGUGCCAUUUUUAUAGUCUCACACUAGGUGUGGUGAAAUUAUUUUCUGCAUUUGACCCAUCCCCCUUGAUCACCCCCUGGGAGGUGAGGGAAGCAGUGAGCAGCAGUGGCUGCGCCCGGGAAUGAUUUUGGUGAUUUAACCCCCAAUUACAACCCUUGAUGCUGAGUGCCAAGCAGGGAGAUAAUGCAUGAUGGCGUUCACUAAUCAAUUUUAUAAUUGUCCAUGUCCAAAUUGCGAUGCAUCUGAAAUUGGGUCCAAUUUUUAUAGUCUGACACUAGGUGUGGUGAAAUUAUCCUUUCCAUUUGACCCAGCACUUUUGAUCACCCCCUGGGAGGUGAGGGGAGCAGUGAGCAGCAGCGGUGGCUGCACCCGGGAAUAAUUUUGGUGAUUUAACCCUUAAUUCCAACCCCUUGAUGCUGUGUGCCAUUUUUAUAGCCACACACUAUAGGUGUGUUGAAAUUAUCCUCUGCAUUUGACCCAGCACCUUCGAUCACCCCCUGGGAGGUGAAGGGAGCAGUGAGCAGCAGCAGCGAUGGCCGCGCCUGGGAAUCAUUUCGGUGAUUUAACCCUUAAUUCCAACCCUUAAUGGUGAGUGCCAAGCAGGGAAGUAAUGGGUUCUAUUUUAUAGUCCCACACUAGGUGUGGUGAAUUAUCCUGUGCAUAUGACCCAUCACCCUUGAUCACCCCCUGGGAGGGGAGGGGAGCAGUGAGCAGCAGCGGUGGCCGCGCCCGGGAAUCAUUUUGGUGAUUUAACCCCCAAUUCCAACCCUUGAUACUGAGGGCCAAGCAGGGAGGUAAUGGGUCCCAUUUUUAUAGUCUUUUGUAUGACUUACACGGCCCCCUGACGCCCCUUCUCAACUGUCUAUGCGACGUCAAGGCUUGGUUGGCCCAUAUUUUUUGUAAUAAUGAAUGAGGCGAAAAACGGAAGUUUUAGUUUUUGGUUCGGACCAUUGCAAAAUGUGUCCCAAAGUCACCAGCCUUGGCGUCAUUAUUGACAAUGAUUUUAAACUUAAACAAGUCAAUGGCGCUUUAAAAUCGUGUUUUAUCAUCUUCGUCUUUUACAGCAGUGGUUCUCAACCUUUUUUCAGUGAUGUACACCCUGUGAAAAUUUUUUUAAUUCAAGUACCCCCUAAUCAGAUCAAAUAAUUUUUGGUUGAAAAAAAGAGAUAAAGAAGUAAAAUACAGCACUAUGUCAUCAGUUUCUGAUUUAUUCAAUUGUAUAACAGUGCCAAAUAUUGCUCAUUUAUAGUGGUCUUUCUUGAACUAUUUGGAAAAAAGUUAUAAAAAUAACUAAAAACAUUGUUGAAAAAUUAACAAGUGAUUCAAUUAUAAAUAAAGAUUUGUGCACAUAGCAGUAAUCAUCAACUUAAAGAGCCCUCUUUGGGGAUUGUAAUAAUGAUCCAUCUGGACUUAAUUCUAAACAUUUCUUUACGAAAAAAAAAAAUCUUUAACAGCAAUAUUUAUGGAACAUGUCCAAAAAAAAAACCUUAGCUGUGAACACUGAAUAUUGGAUUUUUGCACUUCUUUUUACAGUUCAUAUUUUGUUGAAGUAUUAUUCAAUAAAAACAUUUAUAAAGGAUUUUUGAAUUGUUGCUAUUUUUAUCCAUCCAUUUUCUACCGCUUAUUCCCUUUGGAGUCGCAGGGGGCGCUGGUGCCUAUCUCAGCUACAAUCGGGCGGAAGGCGGGGUACACCUGCUAUUUUGAGAAUAUUUUAAAAAAAUCUCACGUACCCCUUGGCAUACCUUCAAGUACCCCCAGGGGUACGCGUACCCCCAUUUGAGAACCACUGUUUUACAGGGUUCGUGGACCUUUUCCAUGGCCAAAUUCAAGCACUUUAAGGACUUUCAGGAUCAAUUUUCCAGUUUUUACAGUACCCUUCAAAAGGCGAAAACCAGUGUGAAUCAAUCAAUAGCCUUGUUGUUUGAGGUCGGCAAAUGCUGUCUGUAGGAAAAAUAUGGAAAUUCUGCUAAAUCCUAGGCCUAAUAUUGAACCAGCAGUUCUCAAUAACUGAGUGGGGCAUAGAGUAUUCAAUGUCAUUGGUGUUUGCAAAUGUUUCUCCAUUUGUGUUUUAUUCCCCCAAAUUUCUUUCUUUUUCUUACUUACAGCAGUCAAUGACGUCGGACAGUACGAAUGGAUUCACACAGUAUUUGUGCUUGUAAACUGCAUAAUGUGAUAUAGAUACACACACCCUCAAAAUGUCAAUUUUACUCAUUUGUUAACAAAACUGUUCCACAUUAAUAUAAGGAUAAUAAAUUAAAUGAAAAUAGCUGAGAUAAGCGCCAGCGACCCCAAAAGGGAAUAAGCGGUAAAAAAUGGAUGGAUGGAUAGAUACUUUCAUUAAGCAUAGCUAGCCUUAUAACUUUGGCUAUGAUAAGAAAUUAACAAAAAGUUAUAGUUAACUUUUUUUUUUUUUUUUUUUGCUGGAGGUAGCCGGACAAGUUAAGUAGACAAUGAAAAUAAUAAGAGCAAGAAAUGCAUACAACCAUGUUGUGUAAAAACUACAAAAUCAUUCAUAUUAACUCAGCUGUAAGUUGUGAAAAAAGUUACAAAUGAUACAUUACAUGACCUUCACAGUCCAAACAAGUCCAAUAAUGCAACCAUUUUAACCAAAACUACAAAAUGUGACUUGUGUGCUUAAACUGAGGUAGUCAGACAAAUUAAGUAGACAACCAAAAUAAGGGAGCAAAAAAUACCUUCACGUUGGAUUUCCUUUUUGCAUACUUUGCAGCAGGCUACAAGUGGAUUUGGUCUACGUUUUAUCAAAAGUUUGCAUUUGUCAUUUUCCAUCCAACGUACAUUAAAACGACAACCUCCCGGCAUGAUGGACCGAUGCACCAAUGUCCUCUUGGGGGUGACACACCGUAUACACGGCUCUGACGUGACAACAACCUAAUGCAAGGGUUCGUGCGAAACCAACAGAUCAGAUGUGUGCAAAGCCAACAGAUCAAGCGUGGAGCUUUAAUUUUUAAGGAAACUUAUUUAUUUUCCAUUUUAUAGUUAGCACAUUAAGUAAGACUGCCGAGAAAUAUAAUGAACAUUUACAAGCACUUCACCCAAAAUUCAAGUAUUUUUCAAACCUUGAAAACACAACAUUAAAAUCUUAGCAUUUUCAAGGUUUUUAAGUACCCAUACAAACCCUGCUUUUAGCAAAAGUAAAACCGUUUUUAUCUUUUAACCUUCUUGAGCAAGUCGUGCAUUCUUUUCUUUCAAGUCGCCUGGACUACUGCAAUGCACUUUAUGCUGGCAUUAGCCAAAAAGCUCUCUUCUGGUUGCAGUUAGUCCAGAACGCAGCGGCCUGACUUAACAGGGGCCAGAAAACGCGAGCAUAUAACCCCAAUUCUUGAGACUUUGCACUGGCUCCCUGUUCAUUUUAGAAUUGAUUUUAUUGGUUGGUGUAUUGGUUUUAAAGCUUUGCAUGGACUGGCACCUCACAUCUGGGACCUCGUCUAAAAUGACACUCCUGUGCGCGCUCUGAGGUCCAAGAGCCAGCUCCAGCUCGUGGUGCCCAAGACGAGACUUAAAACCAUGAGAGACAGGGCAUUCUCUGUGGCCGGCUCUACGUUCUGGAACACCUCAGAGCUUAGGAGUGUUUUAAGUCCCGUCUUAAGACCCACGAUUAAUCUCUGGCUUUUGAGUUGUGUGGUGUUCUGUGUUUUUACAUUUUUAUUUCAAUGUAUUGUUUUAAUUAGUUUUACCCUUUAAAAUCAUUGUUAACUAUAUCUAUUUUUGUUGUUUUAAAUUCAUUUUGUUUUUAUUCAGUCAUUGGUGGAGCUAAUGAUAGUAUUUGAUUCUUGUUUUUAAUAUUUUUGUGCAGCACUUUGGAAACAUUUUUGUUGUUUGAAUGUGCUAUAUAAAUAAAGUGGAUUGGAUUGGAUUAAACUUGA